Heterocephalus glaber (naked mole-rat) is the source of this 294-nucleotide long non-coding RNA. The record is from Ensembl. Lineage: Eukaryota; Metazoa; Chordata; Mammalia; Rodentia; Bathyergidae.
CUGUAAUUACACUGAGAGUUAUAUUGAGGAUGGUUCUGUUGUGCUUUAUCAAGGUGCCUGAGGCCUAGAUGAAGAGAUUGGCAUGGAGUGCCUUGACUUGGCCCUUCACUUGUGCCGAGCCCUGGCUGCAAGUUCAGGGACUCUCCGCCCUCCACCUUCCCACCCAGCCUGUCCUGCUGUCCCUGGGCCACCCCAGGAUCCUGACUACUGCAGCGUCAUCCCAGGCUUGGUGUCUGCUGAAGCCUUCCUGUUUCCACAGACACCUCCUGUCUGUGUGUGAUGUUUUGAUCUGCC